This is a non-coding RNA of Otolemur garnettii (small-eared galago), 74 nucleotides long. The record is from Rfam. Lineage: Eukaryota; Metazoa; Chordata; Mammalia; Primates; Galagidae.
GGGCCUGUGGCUCAAAGGAGUAGGGCAUUGGCCCCAUAUGCCAGAGGUAGCUGGUUCAAACCCAGCCCUGACCA